CACAAUACUAAUUUAAUUAGGUCUUUCCACUUUUCGUGGAAAGACCUUUUGUUUUUCUUCUGCCGUCUGAGAUGCUUUUUUGUCUUACAACAUAUCGAAUGGAUUUUUGGCCAAUGAUGUUGUACAGUAAUGGGGUUUUCAAAACUCACCCUGUGUGACCGAACACUUAUCCUUAUAGGAGUUAUCUCCCCGCGUCCCUUUUUUCUUGUUAUCGCUAUAUCUCUAAAACCGUAAAAGAUUUUAGCAAACUGUUUUCACCAAAUUGUUUGUCUAUUCUUUAGAAUGAUUUGGUUAAUUUUGA
RNAcentral lists this long non-coding RNA (301 nucleotides) under Mytilus galloprovincialis (Mediterranean mussel). Lineage: Eukaryota; Metazoa; Mollusca; Bivalvia; Mytilida; Mytilidae. The record is from RNAcentral.